UAUGGUGGCAAUAGAGAAAUGCUCUUAUGAUCCAAGAGAGAAUUUUAGGGAGUCCAUGAUGGAGAUGAUAACAGCAGAUCACAUUAAAGAAGCCAGAGAUUUAGCCUACUCAGUUUUGAGGAAUGUGGAAUUCCUGCUAAGUUUGUUAUAAUUGAUGAUGGAUGGCAAUCUGUUGAUAUAGAUCCUAAUAGUAUUGAAUAGAAAGAUGAUAAUUAUACAAACUGGGUCUUCAUUCAUGGAAGCCUUGGAGGGCGAAUUGACCCAACUGGGUGCAAUUGACGACAUUGAAAAGCUACGAGAAUACUUGGAGAUUCUAGAAUGGCAGGUAUUUGGAGGAUCAUAUAAAAGCACAUUUGCUCUUGCUUACAGCCAAGCUCACCCAGACAAGGUGUACUAAUUUGUUAUUAUUAAUCAUAUUCUUUUUUAUGAAGAACCAAUUAGGUUGGUAAUGUAUAAUUUUUUAUUUCCCCAAUAUUUUGUUGUUAAUCUUUUAAAAUAUCUUUUAAGUUUUACUGGCAUGAUCCUCAGGAGAAUUUUCCUCUUAAGGAAGAAAGAUAUUGACUGGUUUUAUGAAGGUGGUGCUGUUGCAAUAUUCCGUGAUAUUUGGUAUAUUUAGAGCAUUCCUUUUUAUUUAUUUAUCUGGGAUUAUGUUUAAAUAUCUUUAGCACAGUGAACUUUCAUUUCGAAGUGAAGACAAUUUGACUUAUUUAAUAUAUGGAACUAUGUUGAAACUUUAUUUUAUGCCACUUUCAUUGCAUGUCAAAGAUUUCAAUUUUUCUAUUGAGGAAAUUUUUCUUUAAUGAUUUUACACAUUGAUUCAAUCACAUGACUUGGUUGUUGUUUAAUGCAUGGUUAGUGUUUAAGGUGGUUGGACAAAACCCUUUUUAUUAUGAAUAUAGCACAUUGCUAUUUGGAUGGCAAUGCUGAUGCUGUGGAAUUCUGUUCAUAAGAUUCGUACCACCAUGUUCUAACUGUCUUUACAUACAAUCUCCAACAACGUGGUCACCUCAGUCAACAUGGAAGCAUUUAGUUUAUAAUAAAAAGCUUUUUUGAUAGAUUUUGAAAAUGUAAAAUCAAUAAUAUUAUAUCCCAAGAUUAGGCUUGUCCUAAAAAUGCUAUCAAUUAUUAACCUUUGUUUUAGUAUUUAUGUUAACUUAUUAUUCCAUAUACAGCUUGAUUGUUUUUGUGUGAUGGUUGUGGUUGAAGCAUGUGAUUUUCAUUUUCAUUUUUAUUUUUGGUGUUGGUGUGUGGCAUUCAAUAGAUAGAUCGGUACCAAAAGGUAGACAAGUCAAUGGCAGAAAUGCCAAUGGAUAAAAACGAGAUCAGUAUCACAAGUCAGGGAAGGGUGAGCAACUACAUUACUUAUGCCAUGACCUUGCUUCAGGCUCCUUAUCUUCGUCCUUUCUAUUUACUCUUUCAUUAGCACAUCUUGCAACAAACUACUAUCGCCUCUGUUCGUUUAGAACGUUUGGUGUUGUGAUUAUACUUCUUUCUUUUAUUCCUUGGAUAAAAUAAAAAUUACCUUGAAAUGAUCUGGGGAAUUUACAAGAAGAAAAGAAUCAUGCUUAGCUACUACAGGGCGAACAUUGAGUGUUUUUUUUUUUUAAUUUAAAAUUCAAUUAUGAAUCUAAACUAAGUACAUGUUUGGCAAAUAGUUCUUUUUAUUUUCAGAACCUGUUUCGGGAACACAUUAUAUUGUAAACAUUUUUGGACCUAAAAAAUGUCAAAACAAAAUCAAACUUAAAUUGUGGAAAAUGUAUCUAGAUGAAUUUGACAUGUUAUGUAUCUAUUGAUGUUGUGAGGACCAUUUUGUACAGGUUUUUGCUCAGAUUAUAUUGUUUGCCUCUUCAUUGGAAAGGUUUUCAAUAAAAUUAUUUUCAAAGCAAUGGGUAGAGCUAUCAACAAAAUUGUAACAAUUGUGGAGUUGAUCAACGUCUGAUCAUUUUGUAAUUGGCUGAGCUGGGCUAUUUGGGGAGUAAUCAAAUAAUACACAGAAGAACACACAAAUUGGAUCCGGUAACAUCAUUGGUACUUGGGAGCCUCUAGACGAAGGCCUCCUUCUAUAUGUGCAGUUUCUGAAUAGUAUUUUAAUUAAAAUGUUCAGUAUUCCAUUUAGGUUUUACUUUUAUUUUAUUUUAUUUAUUUAUUUGAUACUGUUCAUGAUGCAAUUUGGGGACCACAAGGCAUGUACCAUUUGAUAACAAUAACCCUUUCAAAGAAGGAAACAAUACAUCAUCUGUGGGUAGGUUACAAGAAGUGGUUAUGGUGGAUUUGUUCAAGACAACAUUUUGGAAGUUCCUUAUUUUGACUAUAGUUGUUCAUGCACUUUGGUUUUAUCAACAUGCAGAGGACUUUGGAUAUUUAACAGGUAUCGAUCACCAUUACCAGUUGACUAAGUGAAGGCAUCAAGUAUUUUGAUUAUGGAGAGAGUUCACCAAAUGGCCGAAUUCAAGGUCGUGGUGGAUGAGGAAGAGAAAGGACCAGAGGUAUUGAUUUUAUUGCAGCUGAUUACGAGGAUGGAGGCUGGGAUCGCAACAUGGAAAAUGCUAGGGGUUAAGGGGCAGAAGACAAAGAAUUAUAUAUCUUGCAGUGUUGAUUAUUUUGAGGAUUGUCGUAAAAUACUUGAUAGUAUAUUAUAUUUAAAUCUUGCUACAUAUUGCAUUUAUCAAACUUUAUGUCAAUACUUUUGUCUA
Arachis ipaensis is the source of this 2693-nucleotide non-coding RNA. The record is from RefSeq and is a predicted model, not a curated record. NCBI's taxonomy places the organism in Eukaryota, Viridiplantae, Streptophyta, Magnoliopsida, Fabales, Fabaceae.